Molecule: unclassified non-coding RNA, 507 nt
Filed under: Zea mays
Lineage: Eukaryota; Viridiplantae; Streptophyta; Magnoliopsida; Poales; Poaceae
Description: misc RNA Zm00001eb315120
Source: RNAcentral
CGUGUACGUUCGUUCUCUGUCUCUAGAUUUUCUCGCCGCCAUGGAUGACGAUCGCGCACAUCACGCACAAACUGCCGCCGCCGGACCGAGACCUCGACUGGCCACCACCGCACCGAACGCUGUCGUGGAGGAGCAGGCCCCGUGCCCAACGCCGUCCGCCAGGCACGCCCCCGCCACGCCGUCCACCAGGCUCGUCCUCGCCGCGCUGUUGCCUGGACUGGCCACCGCGGGGCUGGCUGAGGACGCGCUGGCCAGGGCCACGCCGACCGCCGCGCUCCGCGAGGAGGUGCUGGCCGAGGCGUCGUCCGCCGCAAUCGCCCACGCCGCUUAUGCUGGUGCUCCAUUUCGUCGGUGAGCUGCUUACAGUAGCACUUUGUAUGCGUAUGACGUAUGAUACAGUAUGGGCAAUAGCAUUAGCUGCAGAGAAGGCCGGAUAUGUUAAUUUUUUGUGCUAUCUGAAACAAACGAUGGUUCCACUGAUUUCAACAAAAUAAGUACUUCUAGGGC